AAACUUUCAACAACGGAUCUCUUGGUUCUGGCAUCGAUGAAGAACGCAGCGAAAUGCGAUAAGUAAUGCGAAUUGCAGAAUUCUCGUGAGUCAUCGAAUCUUUGAACGCACAUUGCGCCCUUUGGUAUUCCGAAGGGCAUGCCUGUUCGAGC
RNAcentral lists this ribosomal RNA (152 nucleotides) under Exophiala spinifera. RNAcentral's name for it is "5.8S ribosomal RNA". It matches the Rfam family "5.8S ribosomal RNA". From Rfam's summary of the family: 5.8S ribosomal RNA (5.8S rRNA) is a component of the large subunit of the eukaryotic ribosome. It is transcribed by RNA polymerase I as part of the 45S precursor that also contains 18S and 28S rRNA. Lineage: Eukaryota; Fungi; Ascomycota; Eurotiomycetes; Chaetothyriales; Herpotrichiellaceae. The record is from RNAcentral.